UUCCAGCUCCAAUAGCGUAUAUUAAAGUUGUUGCAGUUAAAAAGCUCGUAGUUGGACCUUGGACCUGGACAGGCGGUCCGCCUCACGGUGAGUACUGUCUUGCUGGGUCUUUCCUCUUGGUGAUCUGUUGUUUCGGCAGCAGGGAACCAGGACCUUUACUUUGAAAAAAUUAGAGUGUUCAAAGCAGGCUCGACGCCGGAAUAUAUUAGCAUGGAAUAAUAAAAUAGGACGUGCAGUUCUAUUUUGUUGGUUUUUGGAAUCGCCGUAAUGAUUAAUAGGGACAGUCGGGGGCAUUAGUACUCACAUGCUAGAGGUGAAAUUCUUGGAUUUUGUGAAGACUAACUUCUGCGAAAGCAUUUGCCAAGGAUGUUUUCAUUA
This 378-nucleotide ribosomal RNA is filed under the name Exobasidiomycetes sp. RNAcentral describes it as "partial small subunit ribosomal RNA". It matches the Rfam family "Eukaryotic small subunit ribosomal RNA", at positions 583 to 975 of the family's 1831-position model. Lineage: Eukaryota; Fungi; Basidiomycota; Exobasidiomycetes. The record is from RNAcentral.